This 75-nucleotide antisense RNA is filed under the name Streptomyces sp. ADI95-17. Its description in RNAcentral is "ASpks TB sRNA". It matches the Rfam family "ASpks TB sRNA". The record is from Rfam by way of RNAcentral. Lineage: Bacteria; Bacillati; Actinomycetota; Actinomycetes; Kitasatosporales; Streptomycetaceae.
CUUCAACGAGCCCAGCAACAGCGGGCGUUCGCCGCGCCGCUUCUGGCCGUACGUCGCGAGCAGCGCCUGCGCCUC